Molecule: ribosomal RNA, 464 nt
Filed under: uncultured bacterium
Lineage: Bacteria
Description: partial 16S ribosomal RNA
Rfam family: Bacterial small subunit ribosomal RNA
Source: RNAcentral
UAGGGAAUCUUCCACAAUGGACGCAAGUCUGAUGGAGCAACGCCGCGUGAGUGAAGAAGGUUUUCGGACCGUAAAGCUCUGUUGUUGGUGAAGAAGGAUAGAGGUAGUAACUGGCCUUUAUUUGACGGUAAUCAACCAGAAAGUCACGGCUAACUACGUGCCAGCAGCCGCGGUAAUACGUAGGUGGCAAGCGUUGUCCGGAUUUAUUGGGCGUAAAGCGAGCGCAGGCGGAAGAAUAAGUCUGAUGUGAAAGCCCUCGGCUUAACCGAGGAAUUGCAUCGGAAACUGUUUUUCUUGAGUGCAGAAGAGGAGAGUAGAACUCCAUGUGUAGCGGUGGAAUGCGUAGAUAUAUGGAAGAAUACCAGUGGCGAAGGCGGCUCUCUGGUCUGCAACUGACGCUGAGGCUCGAAAGCAUGGGUAGCGAACAGGAUUAGAUACCCUGGUAGUCCAUGCCGUAAACGAUG